UUUAUGGAGAGUUUGAUCCUGGCUCAGGAUGAACGCUGGCGGCGUGCCUAAUACAUGCAAGUCGAGCGAACGGAUGAGAAGCUUGCUUCUCUGAUGUUAGCGGCGGACGGGUGAGUAACACGUGGAUAACCUACCUAUAAGACUGGGAUAACUUCGGGAAACCGGAGCUAAUACCGGAUAAUAUUUUGAACCGCAUGGUUCAAAAGUGAAAGACGGUCUUGCUGUCACUUAUAGAUGGAUCCGCGCUGCAUUAGCUAGUUGGUAAGGUAACGGCUUACCAAGGCAACGAUGCAUAGCCGACCUGAGAGGGUGAUCGGCCACACUGGAACUGAGACACGGUCCAGACUCCUACGGGAGGCAGCAGUAGGGAAUCUUCCGCAAUGGGCGAAAGCCUGACGGAGCAACGCCGCGUGAGUGAUGAAGGUCUUCGGAUCGUAAAACUCUGUUAUUAGGGAAGAACAUAUGUGUAAGUAACUGUGCACAUCUUGACGGUACCUAAUCAGAAAGCCACGGCUAACUACGUGCCAGCAGCCGCGGUAAUACGUAGGUGGCAAGCGUUAUCCGGAAUUAUUGGGCGUAAAGCGCGCGUAGGCGGUUUUUUAAGUCUGAUGUGAAAGCCCACGGCUCAACCGUGGAGGGUCAUUGGAAACUGGAAAACUUGAGUGCAGAAGAGGAAAGUGGAAUUCCAUGUGUAGCGGUGAAAUGCGCAGAGAUAUGGAGGAAC
This 724-nucleotide ribosomal RNA is filed under the name Staphylococcus aureus. RNAcentral describes it as "bacterial SSU rRNA". It matches the Rfam family "Bacterial small subunit ribosomal RNA", at positions 1 to 707 of the family's 1533-position model. Lineage: Bacteria; Bacillati; Bacillota; Bacilli; Caryophanales; Staphylococcaceae. The record is from RNAcentral.